AGAAAGUUAGUCUAACCAAGACAGUUGAUUUAGACUCAACAAAUCACUGGCCCAACCCUGCUCUGUAAUUCCUG
This 74-nucleotide transfer RNA is filed under the name Pelecanus occidentalis. Its description in RNAcentral is "tRNA-Arg". The record is from RNAcentral. Lineage: Eukaryota; Metazoa; Chordata; Aves; Pelecaniformes; Pelecanidae.